CACCGCGGUUAAACGGGUGGCUCAAGUUGAUAGACCACGGCGUAAAGAGUGGUUAUGGAGAAUAAGCCAAACUAAGGCCGAAGGGCCCCCGGGUAGUUGCAAGCUUCCGGUCGUCCGAAGUUCAAUCACGAAAGUAGCCUUAAUACAUUCUACCAGACUCCACGACAGCUGGGGAA
Molecule: ribosomal RNA, 176 nt
Filed under: Amblygaster sirm (spotted sardinella)
Lineage: Eukaryota; Metazoa; Chordata; Actinopteri; Clupeiformes; Clupeidae
Description: partial 12S rRNA
Source: RNAcentral